Lytechinus variegatus (green sea urchin) is the source of this 167-nucleotide long non-coding RNA. RefSeq lists it as uncharacterized. The transcript has 2 exons. The record is from RefSeq and is a predicted model, not a curated record. NCBI's taxonomy places the organism in Eukaryota, Metazoa, Echinodermata, Echinoidea, Temnopleuroida, Toxopneustidae.
AAAUUUUACAGAAAUCCACUGCCUGCACCGGAAAUUUCUGCAAAGGAAGAUGAAAAGAAAAAAAGACGAAGAAAUUGGCAUGAUGGGGAGGUGCACUGCCUGUGCCACUAUGUUCAAAGGCACAAAUCUGUGCUUUUUGGCAAGGCUGGCCAUGCCAGCGUUCCGGU